GGGAAGAUGCCCCUGACAGGUGGGCCCCACCUGUCAGCAGGUGCAGGUGCGCGCGGGCGGCCGGUCGCGCGCGGUCGGACGGGGCUGGUUCGGCCCAAAAUGGCCGGGCCGGUCCGGUUUAGCCUUUCUUGUUUUUUUCUUUUAGACCUUUUCUUUUUCUGUUUUUCUCAUUUCUUUGAUAUCUGUCGUCGCUCGGUGCUCCGACACCGGGGGCGUGCGGCCACGUCCCCCUUUUAGGUUCGGUAGGGGCGUCUGGGGCAGAGACCCGGUGAGCGCCGGCACGGGCGAUGAGGCCCUACAGGGCCGGCGAGACGAAGAGCUCGGGGUACGCGCUAGCCCAAGAACAGAUGCAGGCACGUUUUUUCCCCAGGUUCGGGCCACCCGGAGGCGUAAACCCCUACGUCCUGCCUGUCUGAACUGAUAUUGAUUACGGAUCAAAGGUUUACAGGUUGCCGGGCAAGCUCCCGAGCUUUCUCUCAAUGGCUAGGCGCUCCUCACCGCUCACCGUUGGCUGCCUACUGGAGCCAGUAAGCAUCUAUCGAGUGAGCUUCGUCCAAACCAACUAACUGGCCAACUGACUAACCUCCGAACUGUCUGACCCGUCAACCCUCUAACCCCCUAGACCGUUGGCAUGGGUCCUCCUUUUAUACACAAGGGGAAGCCACAUGUGCCAAGGUGCAUGUACUACAAGUGUCCAACGGGGAGGCAUGCAACUCUCCCUGGUGAGCUGGUGGCAUGCAUGGGUGCCACCUCCGCUGCUAGGGGCCUAGGACCCUAGGGUAGGAUUGGACAACCACUGUUCCCU
Molecule: long non-coding RNA, 805 nt
Filed under: Brachypodium distachyon (stiff brome)
Lineage: Eukaryota; Viridiplantae; Streptophyta; Magnoliopsida; Poales; Poaceae
Description: long non-coding RNA (BDIS_LNC003851)
Source: RNAcentral